RNAcentral lists this ribosomal RNA (413 nucleotides) under uncultured bacterium. RNAcentral describes it as "bacterial SSU rRNA". It matches the Rfam family "Bacterial small subunit ribosomal RNA", at positions 355 to 786 of the family's 1533-position model. The record is from RNAcentral.
UGGGAAGUAUUGCACAAUGGGGAAACCGGUAGCAUGCAGCGACGCCGCGUGAAGGAAGAAGUAUUUCGGUAUGUAAACUUCUAUCAGCAGGGAAGAAAAUGACGGUACCUGACUAAGAAGCCCCGCUACUACGUGCCAGCAGCCGCGGUAAUACGUAGGGGCAAGCGGUUAUCCGGAUUUACUGGGUGUAAAGGGAGCGUAGACGGCACGGCAAGUCUGAUGUGAAAGCCCGGGCUCAACUUCGGGACUGCAUUGGAAACUGUUGAGCUGGAGUGCAGGAGAGGUAAGCGGAAUUCCUAGUGUAGCGGUGAAAUGCGUAGAUAUUAGGAGGAACACCAGUGGCGAAGGCGGCUUACUGGACUGUAACUGACGUUGAGGCUCGAAAGCGUGGGGAGCAAACAGGAUUAGAUACC